Molecule: long non-coding RNA, 925 nt
Organism: Triticum urartu
Lineage: Eukaryota; Viridiplantae; Streptophyta; Magnoliopsida; Poales; Poaceae
Source: RefSeq, a predicted model, not a curated record
UGUAUGAUCGGCUGGAGAUGAGAUUCUGGCUUUGAGGAUGAUUAUACAUUUUAUAGGUUAUCUUUUCUCGAGAAGCGGUGGUGCCUAGGUGUUGCAGAUGGAAGAAGACUUGGGCAUGAGCAUGUUGCUAUUAAUCCAUGUGUGCAUCUUCUACGAAAUGACAACCACUCCAUAAGCGUGUGUCCACGGUCGCGUCUGCGGCUCCUCCACGGUCUCGCCUGAGAUAGCCACGUACCCGCCACCUGAACCAACGAAUAGCCCGAUCCUGGAAUGAGGGAUGGAGAAGAUGGAGAGGGACCACGUUACCCUUCACAGAGCAUAUCAUGGAAAGAACACAGAGGUACAGGGCAUAUCAUGGAAAGAACACAGAGUGAAACAAAGGACUGGAAUCGACAAUUUCCUGGUUUAGUAUAGUCAUUAAAUUAUGCUUCGGUUUCUAUUUGCCGGAUCUUCCGUUGCUAUGCUGAAAAUUCCACUUUUGGAGUGUGUCAAAGUGGUUGUGAUUGUAUUUCUAAGGCUAUAUGUUGAUUAACUUAUCGGACAAGAACAUUCGAGUGUACUGCAUUGUCUCUUUGUGCAUGUUGCCUGCCAAGUUUCUUUAGCAUGAGGCAGAUAUACUGUAUUGCUAUUUGAGAUGUGAUUCUCUAUCCUUAGAAGCAUGUUCUUCGUCCAGAUUUUCUGUAUGCUCUCUGAUCUUCAGAGAUUAUACUCAUGCAUGUCACAAUCUCGGCGGGCAAUGACGUCUCUCAUUAUGCUUAUCUCAUGAGAAAUUUGGAAGGAGAGGAAUGCUCAAGUCUUCCGCCACACCGCGGUGCAUGUAGGGGUUCUUGUUGCUAGAAUUAAAGAUUAGUCGAAGUUGUGGUGUCUUACGGGAGCUAAUUUUUUUAGUAAUGUGAUGCCGCCAGAGUAAUGUGUGUAAUUUGGA